This 1960-nucleotide long non-coding RNA is filed under the name Patiria miniata (bat star). RNAcentral's name for it is "uncharacterized LOC119729797". Lineage: Eukaryota; Metazoa; Echinodermata; Asteroidea; Valvatida; Asterinidae. The record is from RNAcentral.
ACAUAUGUUCUUCCGGUUAGCAAAGGCACACUGUGACAGCAUCCACUUUCUACAUGCUAAUACAUGCACAGUAUUGUUCAGGGAAAGACAUAUGAAAACCUAUCAGCUUCCGAAGUCGGCAACAUCCUGCUGUCACUACAGUCUCAGCACCUACCAGCUCCCACUCUGUCAGCAACAUCCUGCUGUCACAUGUCCAGCUACCGGUACUUGAAGUUACUGUGUGCUUGUACAUUCUCAGCACCUACUAGCUCUCACUCUGUCAGCAACAUCCUGCUGUCACAUGUCCAGCUAUUGGUACUCGGAGUUACUAUUUGCUUGUACUUUCUCAGCACCUACCAGCUCCCACUCUGUCAGCAACAUCCUGUCCAGCUACCGGCACUUGGAGUUAUAGUGUGCUUGUACAUUCUCAUCAGCACCUACUAGCUCCCACUCUGUCAACAACAUCCUGCUGUCACACCUCCAGAUAUGUGGAGUUAUUGUGCUUUUACAGUCUCAGCCAGUAUUGGAUUGCAAGUUGUCUUAUGCUGCUACAACCUACACAUUUAGCAUUCUCUUGAACCUUGAGGAACCACCAUAUGAACAAAGAGACAGUCUCUGAAACACUCAUAAUAAACCUGUCACGGUGGUUUGUUGAACAUUAGUAUUAUUUGGAGGACUUGCAAUUAGCUCAUAUAGUCAACUAGCUAUUCCAGUCCUCUGGAAGAGUUUUUGCUUGAGGUUAUUCUAUACUAGUAGCAAGCCUUUUUUCGUGCACGGUCAAGAGUAGAUCGAGAAAGCAGUUGUUUUUAAGGGCAAAACAAUUGUUCUUGUUCCUUGAAAAAGUUGGUCAAAACAUUUUCCCAACCAUUUUUUUAUUUAAACAGUAAGAUAAAGGGGCAACGAGGACUGUUUAAUGCCAUUUCUACAUGGUAGAAAAACAAUUCAAUGCUAAUUUUUAUCCAAGAUAUUCAAAGUUUUGGUGUUAUUGGCAAAGAGAGUACCCGCAAGAGUGGUUGUGACAUGUACAUGCAAAACUGUUUGCAAUGAUUAUGCUAUUAUUAUGAUAAAAAUGGUGCAAAGUACGGCGUUAAAAUGGGCUCUCUCCUUGUACAUAGCACAAUACAUAAGUGAUUGUGAUCAUAAAUGUAUUGAAUUACAUAAAAUACAAUUGUGGAUAAAUAUUUGGUAAUUUGGGGGAGGGGGUGAGUGUAGGGGGGGGGGGGGAAGCAUAUUAAUGCCGGUGCAUACCUUGUCUGAUUGCUAUGAAAAUGUGAUAUUAUCAAGCAUUGGCUGAUUCAUGUUCGCACCAAUUAUGCCAGUGUCAUGGUCUCACUUAUCAGGUGUGUGCACUUCUCCAAAAGGGACAUUUAACUUCAAUACGCACGUGCAAAAUUGUGCUGCGGCUGUACAUUAUCGCCAACCUUAUUGCGUGUGCUCACUGCACUGUGUUUGUGAAGAAGUGAGCGCAUUCUAAGUAAGACUGUGACACUGGCUAAGCUGUGAAUUGCUACCGAGAUAAUUGCCUACUUUUGCGUCAUUUCGUCUAUGUUAAUUUAAGUAUUUGUUUACAAUAUCAUUUAUAGAUUAAACUCAUUAAAGAGACACUGCAGCCUGGCAAAUGCGCAAUUGGGCUACAAAAUGCAUUUUGAGUCGAAUGGUGUAAAGUGCUUGGGAUAUAAACAACUACACAAACAUCCAUUGAAAAUCACCUGGGGGGGGGCACUUUUGCAACCCCCAAACUAUGUGUGUUCAGUGCUGGUUGAGAUUCCAGCUGUAAACGUUUCACCCUCUGCGCACAUCAACCGGAUGUUUCAAGCAGGAUAUCGUAAACAAUGCAAAACAUGACAUUUUCAAGGAUUUCAGGGAACAAUAAUUUAUGGAAUUUUGAGGAAACAUUUUUGCUAUUUUGUUUGGUAGAAUACUAUUGUUUUAUAUUAAAGAAAAUGCUUUCAUACAAAUAAAAAAAUUAUACAAAUAAAAA